Long non-coding RNA from Hyaena hyaena (striped hyena), 345 nucleotides. RefSeq lists it as uncharacterized. The transcript has 4 exons. Lineage: Eukaryota; Metazoa; Chordata; Mammalia; Carnivora; Hyaenidae. The record is from RefSeq and is a predicted model, not a curated record.
ACUCCUCAGGGAGGGUGAUGCUGAGGUCACAACACUGAGUGCUGGGGAGCAAAGUCAGCCUGCCCCCAAAGACUCCCUUUGGCCCACCUCCUGUCCCCAUUUUAUAAACAAAGAAGCAGGUCCAGAGAGGGAAAGGCCACCCGAAUCUUUGAUGAGUCUCCCAGCUCAUCAAACUUAAACCCAAGAGGGGCAUGCUGGGUCCCUCUCUACCUGCAUGAGUGCUGCACACCCUUCCUGGGUCCUCAGACAGCAGCUGAAGCAGCAACCUCUCGCGAGCCCGCCCAUCCGUGAGUGCCCACUCCAGCUGGCACCACUUCCAUCCAGGGCUCUCAGCUUGAACCGGGG